AAUAAAAGCGAGCGAUUUGCAAAAUCGAAAAAGAAGCAAAAACCGAUCGACAACGUUGUGUUCGAUAACAAUUAUUCAUUUUCCGAGCUCUGCGAUGGAGAUUUGUGUGAAAAUAACUCACGAAAAAACUAUUCGCAUAUGCUAAAUGGCGUGAAAAGAGUAAGCAGAAGUGGGUGGGGGAUGGAAGAAGAUUGAUUGACUCGUUGAGCUGGAGAUUUGCUAAACAAAUUACAGUAUGGACAGUUUUGUAAUCUGUGUCCCAUUCCUUUGACAAUAUAUAACUUUGUUGGCGAACAACAAAAUGGCCUCAGUGGUUAUUUGUACGUUGUUUGUGAAAAACCUGACUGUAGAGAAGUCAAUCGUGUUGCUUAUGGAAAGCAGCACCAUCUCAAGAUCAGGGGAAUGCCAUGCUUUGACGUAAAUACCAAGCUUGGAACAGCAAUGAAAGUCAGUUUGGGCAGGCCGGUGAAGUUAAAUUACUUCCUAACCACUCUAAACAUAACGCUUAUUGCAAAUAGAAAUCUAAAGAAGAUGGAGGCUCGUGCUGGGGAGGCCAUCAAGAAAAUCUCAACUGCGUCGUCUAACAAGGCUGCCAUUGAUGCUUAUGAGAAAGAAAUGGAUUCGAGGUACAGUAAUGCAUGAUAUUACUCAGAUUGCUGCUGUGCAUUUGAAGACGGGUUUUAAAUUCUCGACAUAUGUGAAGACAACAGUGCCAAUUUCUUCUGAAGCUCAGAAAGUGGCAUCUCUGUUGAUGAUCAUGGCAUAAUGCGUGUAAAUGGUGGAAGUGUUGAUAGUGUAUCAAUUAAAACUUCUCUACAUGAUUGUAUGUUGUGGCUUGCAAAGUUUCCCAGAGCCAUUUUUGUUGCUCAUAAUGGGCGCAGGUUUGAUUUUCCGGUUUUGGUUAUUGCAUUGCUGAACACACACUGUUUUGAAACGUUUUGUAAUUGUGUAAGCAGUUUUGUUGACUCUUUGCCGGCUUUCAAAAAUCGUAUCCUGGACAGUCACACAAAUAGGAAGAUCUAGUGAACGUGUUCUCCAGGCAACCUGCAACGCCCACAGUGCUCCUGGUGAUGUUGAAGCACUGGCUUCUUUGCUUAAAACGUGUAAAAUUUCUGACAAUAUGGCCCACAUCUUUACUGUUACUUCAAUCCAUAAUUCAGUGUGUUUAAGUCAUGAAAAGCCUUAAAAGCAAAGAACAUUAGAUUGUUAGACGUGCUGUUGCAUAGAGGAACUCUAAAGAGACCAACAGCUGAAAACAUUGCGGGAUAUGGACUGGCCUUGUGUCAUUUGAAAGCCAUAUUUUCUAGUUCCGGAGAGGAUAACUUUAGGGAUAUUUUCAUUGCUAAAAACAAUGAGGGACUACCAAAAGUCACAAACGCAAAAAAUAUAUUAUCUGAAGUGGUCCUUAAAAUCGAUCAGUUUUUCAGUGACGAAAAGUGACAGAACAGUAUAAUAUGGCUUUCAAAUGACACGCGGCCAAUCAAAUUCACCCAAUGGCUUUAUACUGAUACUAAAUUAUGUACAUCUAGUUGUAAUUAAUCUGGCUGUUUUUAUUACAAUAUAAGUUGUAUAUUAGUGUGCUACAUUUUUAAAGAAACAUGAUAACUUAUACAUCUUUAUGCUACGUAAUAUUGGGACAACUUUGACAUUUUGUGGUGAACUGCGCCUGUAUACAUAUGUUGCCGUUUGACUUUAGGUGACCUUAAGAUUGUAUUAUUAAUGUAUUAUUAUUUCAAUAUUAAUUCAAAGUUAGCUAAAUUUCUUCACAUGUCAUGGUUUAUAACUGUAGCUUUUAAUAAGCAACUAUAAAACCCCCAAAAAGAAGUGAUAUGCACAUUUAUACUUAACUUCAUUGCGUGAAAAUGAAUUGGGGCAGGCAUACUCAAAGUACAAUUUCUUGAGAUAAGAACGGUAAAACUUCC
This is a long non-coding RNA of Dreissena polymorpha, 1922 nucleotides long. RefSeq lists it as uncharacterized. The record is from RefSeq and is a predicted model, not a curated record. The transcript has 3 exons. NCBI's taxonomy places the organism in Eukaryota, Metazoa, Mollusca, Bivalvia, Myida, Dreissenidae.